CAACGGCCGCGGUAUCAUGACCGUGCAAAGGUAGCGUAAUCACUUGUCUUUUAAAUAAAGACCCGUAUGAAAGGCAAAACGAAAGUUCAACUGUCUCUUUAAUCCAAUCAAUGAAAUUUAUCUUUUCGUGCAGAGGCGGAGAUAAAUAUAUAAGACGAGAAGACCCUAUGGAGCUUUAAACACACUAUUAACUACUACAGUAAUUUAAACCAACAGGCAAAAAUCAUAAACCACACAGCCAUAAUAUAAGUUUUGGGUUGGGGCGACCACGGAGCAAAAAAAAUCCUCCGAGAUAAACAAUUUAGAAUAACACUUCGAAAAUUAAAACAUUUAUUAUAAAUGAUCCACUAAGUGACCAACGAACCAAGUUACCCUAGGGAUAACAGCGCAAUCCUUUCUAAGAGUCCAUAUCGACGAAUGGGUUUACGACCUCGAUGUUGGAUCAGGACACCCAAAUGGUGCAGCCGCUGUUAAAGGUUCGUUUGUUCAACGAUUAAAGUCCUAC
Molecule: ribosomal RNA, 505 nt
Filed under: Tylototriton sp. n. SL-2019
Lineage: Eukaryota; Metazoa; Chordata; Amphibia; Caudata; Salamandridae
Description: partial large subunit ribosomal RNA
Rfam family: Bacterial large subunit ribosomal RNA
Source: RNAcentral